RNAcentral lists this ribosomal RNA (393 nucleotides) under uncultured bacterium. RNAcentral describes it as "partial 16S ribosomal RNA". It matches the Rfam family "Bacterial small subunit ribosomal RNA", at positions 523 to 918 of the family's 1533-position model. The record is from RNAcentral.
AUACGGAAGGUCCGGGCGUUAUCCGGAUUUAUUGGGUUUAAAGGGAGCGCAGGCGGAGAUGCAAGCGUGACGUCAAAUUUCGGGGCUCAACCCCGUCUCGCGUCGCGAACUGCGUCCCUUGGUUGCGGGAAGGGGAGGCGGAACUCGUGGUGUAGCGGUGAAAUGCAUAGAUAUCACGAAGAACUCCGAUCGCGAAGGCAGCCUUCCGGCCCGUCAACGACGCUCAUGCUCGAAGGUGCGGGUAUCAAACAGGAUUAGAUACCCUGGUAGUCCGCACAGUAAACGAUGGACACCCGCGGAUUGGCCUAUAUGGCUGAGCCGCCAAGCGAAAGCGUUAAGUGUCCCGCCUGGGGAGUACGCCGGCAACGGUGAAACUCAAAGGAAUUGACGGGG